GACGUAGGGCGCGAGCGUUGUCCGGAUUUAUUGGGCGUAAAGAGCUCGUAGGCGGCUUGUUGCGUCAGCUGUGAAAACCCGCAGCUCAACUGUGGGCUUGCAGCUGAUACGGGCGGGCUUGAGUUCGGUAGGGGAGACUGGAAUUCCUGGUGUAGCGGUGAAAUGCGCAGAUAUCAGGAGGAACACCGAUGGCGAAGGCAGGUCUCUGGGCCACUACUGACGCUGAGAAGCGAAAGCAUGGGGAGCGAACAGG
Molecule: ribosomal RNA, 253 nt
Filed under: uncultured bacterium
Lineage: Bacteria
Description: partial 16S ribosomal RNA
Rfam family: Bacterial small subunit ribosomal RNA
Source: RNAcentral